RNAcentral lists this ribosomal RNA (445 nucleotides) under Abyssorchomene sp. '1143-2'. RNAcentral describes it as "partial 16S rRNA". It matches the Rfam family "Bacterial large subunit ribosomal RNA", at positions 1842 to 2579 of the family's 2925-position model. Lineage: Eukaryota; Metazoa; Arthropoda; Malacostraca; Amphipoda; Lysianassidae. The record is from RNAcentral.
GGUAUUAAGGUAAGACCUGCCCAGUGAUUAAUAUUAAACGGCUGCAGUAUUUUAACUGUGCUAAGGUAGCAUAAUCAUUUGUUUUUUAAUUGGAAACUGGAAUGAAGGGUUUAACAAAAAGUAUUGUCUUUAUUAAUUUUAAGAAAUUGUAUUUUAAGUUAAAAUACAAAAAUAAGCUGGGGGGACGAUAAGACCCUAAAAGCUUUAUUUUAUUUAAAUAUUUAUAUUUCUAUUAAAUAAUUUUACUGGGGUAGUGACUUUUGAUAUAUCGAAGUUUGGUAAACAUUAAAGUGGGGUUAGUUCUUAUAUAUAAUAAAAAAUUGAUUAAGUUACUUUAGGGAUAACAGCGUAAUAAUUCAGGAAAGUCCAUAUUUAUGGAAUUGAUUGCGACCUCGAUGUUGAAUUAAAUAAUCUUAUUAGAGCAGAAGCUAUUAAAGAGGGUUUG